GAGCAAGUUGUGAAAUUGCAUACGCGUACGGCUUAGGACCGUAUCCGAAAGGUUGGAGGUUCGAGUCCUCUCUCGCCCA
This 79-nucleotide transfer RNA is filed under the name Patescibacteria group bacterium. RNAcentral's name for it is "tRNA-Leu". It matches the Rfam family "tRNA". From Rfam's summary of the family: Transfer RNA (tRNA) molecules are approximately 80 nucleotides in length. The record is from RNAcentral.